AUUGAACGCUGGCGGCAGGCCUAACACAUGCAAGUCGAGCGGAUGAAGGGAGCUUGCUCCUGGAUUCAGCGGCGGACGGGUGAGUAAUGCCUAGGAAUCUGCCUGGUAGUGGGGGAUACCGUCCGGAAACGGGCGCUAAUACCGCAUACGUCCUGAGGGAGAAAGUGGGGGAUCUUCGGACCUCACGCUAUCAGAUGAGCCUAGGUCGGAUUAGCUAGUUGGUGGGGUAAAGGCCUACCAAGGCGACGAUCCGUAACUGGUCUGAGAGGAUGAUCAGUCACACUGGAGCUGAGACACGGUCCAGACUCCUACGGGAGGCAGCAGUGGGGAAUAUUGGACAAUGGGCGAAAGCCUGAUCCAGCCAUGCCGCGUGUGUGAAGAAGGUCUUCGGAUUGUAAAGCACUUUAAGUUGGGAGGAAGGGCAGUAAGUUAAUACCUUGCUGUUUUGACGUUACCAACAGAAUAAGCACCGGCUAACUUCGUG
RNAcentral lists this ribosomal RNA (484 nucleotides) under uncultured bacterium. RNAcentral's name for it is "partial 16S ribosomal RNA". It matches the Rfam family "Bacterial small subunit ribosomal RNA", at positions 30 to 507 of the family's 1533-position model. The record is from RNAcentral.